CAAUGCAGCCACACCACCCUGGUCGUGCCCGAGCUCAUCUGAUCUGAGAAACUAAGUAGAGUAGAGUAGGUACUUUAUUGA
RNAcentral lists this ribosomal RNA (81 nucleotides) under Monopterus albus (swamp eel). Lineage: Eukaryota; Metazoa; Chordata; Actinopteri; Synbranchiformes; Synbranchidae. The record is from RNAcentral.